This is a non-coding RNA of Arachis ipaensis, 373 nucleotides long. The record is from RefSeq and is a predicted model, not a curated record. NCBI's taxonomy places the organism in Eukaryota, Viridiplantae, Streptophyta, Magnoliopsida, Fabales, Fabaceae.
AUCGUCCGGCAACAAUUUUACCCGACACAACGGACACGUGGCGCGGUAUUCUUGCAGCCACGUGUCCAAGCAGUCCCUGUGGAACACGUGUUGGCAUUUAAGGCUCCUCACUUUCUCCUCUUCCUUGAACUCCGACAAACACACCGUGCACUGCACGUGACGUGGCUUCAUCUCAUUUGUGUACGGAAUCGUUGGGUUCGUCUCUUCGAUGGAUCUCAGGUACGCUAAUAGGAUUAUUAUUCUGCCGCAAAGACGGUUGAAGAGCUUAGAGAGAGAUGUCAUGGCGGCUGCUAGUUAACUAAUGGAUUCAUAUGCAAAUGUUUUUACUUUUCUAUACAAAUGUUAUGAUCAUGAUAUCAUAUGUUUUGACGAA